This 445-nucleotide ribosomal RNA is filed under the name uncultured bacterium. RNAcentral describes it as "bacterial SSU rRNA". It matches the Rfam family "Bacterial small subunit ribosomal RNA", at positions 331 to 793 of the family's 1533-position model. The record is from RNAcentral.
CCAGACUCCUACGGGAGGCAGCAGUGGGGAAUACUGCACAAUGGGGGAAACCCUGAUGCAGCGACGCCGCGUGAGUGAAGAAGUAUUUCGGUAUGUAAAGCUCUAUCAGCAGGGAAGAAAAUGACGGUACCUGACUAAGAAGCCCCGGCUAACUACGUGCCAGCAGCCGCGGUAAUACGUAGGGGGCAAGCGUUAUCCGGAUUUACUGGGUGUAAAGGGAGCGUAGACGGCAUGGCAAGUCAGAUGUGAAAGCCCGGGGCUCAACCCCGGGACUGCAUUUGAAACUGUCAGGCUGGAGUGCAGGAGAGGUAAGUGGAAUUCCUAGUGUAGCGGUGAAAUGCGUAGAUAUUAGGAGGAACACCAGUGGCGAAGGCGGCUUGCUGGACGAUGACUGACGUUGAGGCUCGAAAGCGUGGGGAGCAAACAGGAUUAGAUACCCCAGUAA